GGGAGAUUUUUUUUUUUUUUUUUGAGACAGAGUCUCACUCUGUUGCCCAGGCUGGAGUGCAGUAGCGUGAUCUCGGCUCACUACAACCUCUGCCUCCCAGGCUUAAGUGAUUCUCCCACUUCCACCUCCUGAGUAGCUGGGAUUACAGGCUCUUGCUGCCACACCCGGCUAAUUUUUUUGUAUUUUAGUAAAGAUGGGGUUUCAUCAUGUUGCCCAGGGUGGUUUUGAACUGAGCUCAGCCAAUCCACCUGCCUUGGCCUCCCAAAGUGCUGGGAUUACAGGCAAGAGCCACCGCGCCCGACCAAUAUAGGGAGAUCUUGUCUCUACCAUUUUUUUUUUUUUUAAUUAGCUGGGCAUGGUAGUGCAUGGCUGUGGUCUCAGCCACUUAGGAGGCUGAGGUGGGAGGAUCAUUUGACCCAGGAGUUUGAGGUUGCAGUCAGACGAGAUCACGUCACGGCACUCCAGCCUGGGCAACAGAGGGAUACCUUUUCUCUAAAAAAACUAGAAGAAAGAACUGGUUGCUGUAGCAGUGGCUGCCAUAAGAAAAAGGUAAACCAGAGGAAUCGAAAGAAGUGUCUCUACUGUCUCUCUCUGCAAAUCUCAUUAGCCACUGUCCUGCUUACUCUCAAUGAAGACUAGGAAAGCUAGUGCUGUCAAGCAAGAACUCCUUUGACGGCUGGGCGCGGUGGCUUCUUUCUUCUUUGUUCCUCUUGUCCAUGUUGCCCAGCAGUGCCAGUUGACUCCAGCCUCCAAAUUAUUCCAGCUCUUCUAGAAGUAGACUCACUGGGACAUUUCAGAGGUAGCAGCAGCAGCUGGGAGGUAUUUCCUCCUCAGAGAUCUGCACACUUCUGCAGGGUCUGCGGGGUCCACCUACCCCAGCCCUCAACUCCUACAUUCUAGUGAUUGAAACCCUUCCCUUCAGUUUCUCAGCAGCCGCUUCCUCCGCUUAUCAUCCUUAGGUGAUCUCAGUGUUCCCUUUUGCUCCAAAACCUGUGUAACCAAUUCCCUCUACUGAAUACCCUCUGCUGAAAUCCUUAUUGUGAUUUGUUUUCUCAACUAGACCCUGAUCAAUGCCCCAGUCAUAACCAGCAUGAGCUCUCCUCCUCAUCCUGCAACUCAGGAAGUCCACAGUGAGUCAGUCUAACCUGAGGUGAAAAGAGACAACUGAACGUUUCAUGAGCCUUAAGACUUGGAGGGCAAUGAUGGAAAGUAUGGACAGGGGCCGGGUGCAGUGGCUCACACCUGUAAUCCCAGCACUUUGGGAGGCUGAGG
Molecule: long non-coding RNA, 1272 nt
Filed under: Homo sapiens (human)
Lineage: Eukaryota; Metazoa; Chordata; Mammalia; Primates; Hominidae
Description: HSALNT0067387
Source: RNAcentral